RNAcentral lists this ribosomal RNA (245 nucleotides) under uncultured bacterium. Its description in RNAcentral is "partial 16S ribosomal RNA". It matches the Rfam family "Bacterial small subunit ribosomal RNA", at positions 8 to 235 of the family's 1533-position model. The record is from RNAcentral.
CAGAGUUUGUCCUGGCUCAGGACGAACGCUGGCGGCGCGCCUAACACAUGCAAGUCGAACGGAGAUUAUAGGCGGAAGUUUUCGGAUGGAAGCUUGUAAACUUAGUGGCGGACGGGUGAGUAACACGUGAGCAACCUGCCUAUCAGAGGGGGAUAACGAUUGGAAACGAUCGCUAAUACCGCAUGACAUAGCGGAAUCGCAUGGUUCUGUUAUCAAAGAUUUUAUCGCUGAUAGAUGGGCUCGCG